RNAcentral lists this ribosomal RNA (262 nucleotides) under uncultured bacterium. RNAcentral's name for it is "partial 16S ribosomal RNA". It matches the Rfam family "Bacterial small subunit ribosomal RNA", at positions 524 to 782 of the family's 1533-position model. The record is from RNAcentral.
UACAGAGGUCUCAAGCGUUGUUCGGAUUCAUUGGGCGUAAAGGGUGCGUAGGUGGCAUGGUAAGUCGGAUGUGAAAUCCCGGGGCUCAACCCCGGAACUGCAUUCGAUACUGCUGCGCUAGAGUACUGGAGAGGAGAUUGGAAUUUACGGUGUAGCAGUGAAAUGCGUAGAUAUCGUAAGGAAGACCAGUGGCGGAAGGCGGAUCUCUGGACAGUUACUGACACUGAGGCAGCGAAGGCCAGGGGAGCAAACAGGAUUCAGA